UCUUCCUUAGUGUAGUGGUGAUCAUUUCCGCUUGUCAAUGACCUUCUCAGUCAACAAGCGCGGGAGACCGUAAGCAAUUUCUACUUCUCACCUCAUAACGAGACUAACUGGUUUAGGGGGUUCGAUUCCCCGAGGGAGAG
Molecule: non-coding RNA, 140 nt
Organism: Rhinocladiella mackenziei CBS 650.93
Lineage: Eukaryota; Fungi; Ascomycota; Eurotiomycetes; Chaetothyriales; Herpotrichiellaceae
Source: the annotation of a RefSeq genome assembly